GACGAACGCUGGCGGCGUGCCUAAUACAUGCAAGUCGAACGAACCGCGACUAGGUGCUUGCACUUGGUCAAGGUGAGUGGCGAACGGGUGAGUAACACGUGGGUAACCUACCUCAUAGUGGGGGAUAACAGUCGGAAACGACUGCUAAUACCGCAUAGGACAUAGGAUCACAUGAUUCUGUGAGGAAAGGUGGCGCAAGCUAUCGCUAAGAGAUGGACCCGCGGUGCAUUAGCUAGUUGGUAGGGUAAAGGCCUACCAAGGCGAUGAUGCAUAGCCGACCUGAGAGGGUGAUCGGCCACAUUGGGACUGAGACACGGCCCAAACUCCUACGGGAGGCAGCAGUAGGGAAUCUUCCGCAAUGGACGCAAGUCUGACGGAGCAACGCCGCGUGAGUGAAGAAGGUCUUCGGAUCGUAAAGCUCUGUUGUUAGAGAAGAACAGCGCACAGAGUAACUGUUAUGCGUGUGACGGUAUCUAACCAGAAAGCCACGGCUAACUACGUG
Molecule: ribosomal RNA, 502 nt
Filed under: uncultured bacterium
Lineage: Bacteria
Description: partial 16S ribosomal RNA
Rfam family: Bacterial small subunit ribosomal RNA
Source: RNAcentral